RNAcentral lists this ribosomal RNA (478 nucleotides) under uncultured bacterium. Its description in RNAcentral is "partial 16S ribosomal RNA". It matches the Rfam family "Bacterial small subunit ribosomal RNA", at positions 28 to 507 of the family's 1533-position model. The record is from RNAcentral.
GAUGAACGCUAGCGGCAGGCCUAACACAUGCAGGUCGAGGGAGAAGCCCUUUCGGGGGCAGAAACCGGCGCACGGGUGCGUAACGCGUAUGCAACCUACCUUUCACAGGGGGAUAGCCCGAAGAAAUUUGGAUUAAUACCCCAUAAUAUUAUUGGAUGGCAUCAUUUGAUAAUUAAAACUGCGGUGGUGAAAGAUGGGCAUGCGUCCUAUUAGCUAGUUGGAGUGGUAACGGCACCCCAAGGCUACGAUAGGUAGGGGUCCUGAGAGGGAGAUCCCCCACACUGGUACUGAGACAGAGACCAGACUCCUACGGGAGGCAGCAGUGAGGAAGAUUGGUCAAUGGUCGGAAGACUGAACCAGCCAUGCCGCGUGCAGGAAGAAUGCCUUAUGGGUUGUAAACUGCUUUUAUAUGGGAAGAAUAAGGCGUACGUGUACGUUGAUGACGGUACCAUAUGAAUAAGCAUCGGCUAACUCCGUG